GAUGAACGCUGGCGGCGUGCCUAACACAUGCAAGUCGAACGAAGUUACUUGCUUAGAUCUCUUCGGAGUGACGAGCUUUUAACUUAGUGGCGGACGGGUGAGUAACACGUGAGCAACCUGCCUUUCAGAGGGGGAUAACGGCUGGAAACGGUCGCUAAUACCGCAUGAUAUAUCGAACUGGCAUCGGUUCGAUAUCAAAGGAGCAAUCCGCUGAAAGAUGGGCUCGCGUCUGAUUAGAUAGUUGGUGGGGUAACGGCCUACCAAGUCGACGAUCAGUAGCCGGACUGAGAGGUUGAACGGCCACAUUGGGACUGAGAUACGGCCCAG
This 327-nucleotide ribosomal RNA is filed under the name uncultured bacterium. RNAcentral describes it as "bacterial SSU rRNA". It matches the Rfam family "Bacterial small subunit ribosomal RNA", at positions 28 to 334 of the family's 1533-position model. The record is from RNAcentral.